Molecule: ribosomal RNA, 440 nt
Filed under: uncultured bacterium
Lineage: Bacteria
Description: partial 16S ribosomal RNA
Rfam family: Bacterial small subunit ribosomal RNA
Source: RNAcentral
CCUACGGGAGGCAGCAGUGGGGAAUAUUGCACAAUGGGGGGAACCCUGAUGCAGCGACGCCGCGUGAGUGAAGAAGUAUUUCGGUAUGUAAAGCUCUAUCAGCAGGGAAGAAAAUGACGGUACCUGACUAAGAAGCCCCGGCUAACUACGUGCCAGCAGCCGCGGUAAUACGUAGGGGGCAAGCGUUAUCCGGAUUUACUGGGUGUAAAGGGAGCGCAGACGGCUGUGCAAGUCUGGAGUGAAAGGCGGGGGCCCAACCCCCGGACUGCUCUGGAAACUGUAAGGCUGGAGGGCAGGAGAGGGAAGCGGAAUUCGUAGUGUAGCGGUGAAAUGCGGAGAUAGUAGGAGGAACACCAGUGGCGAAGGCGGCUUACUGGACGUCAACUGACGUUGAGGCUCGAAAGCGUGGGGAGCAAACAGGAUUAGAUACCCUAGUAGUC